UAUGGAUAUCACUUUCACGUUCACUUACACUUCACCUUCCAAUCACUUCACUUGUUUUGGUCUAUUCCCGUUGUCACGGACGGUGAAGUGAUUGAAAAUGAACUCAGUGGAGUGACAACUGCAGUGUAGUGGUAUUCAUAAUCGCAAUGUUUAUAGUGCAACAUCGGAAGCCACAAACUGUCACUUGCUGCGUUCGUUGUUCUUUCUAACAAAUGAAAGUAGAAGAGUAUUCAUUACUUAUUUGCUUAAUUGUUGCUAAGAAGGUGGGAUAGUUCAGUUUUUGUUUCAAUCAUGAGCGUGGAACUUUGGUUUGAUACUGACAGUGAAGACGACGAGGAGUAUGCCAAUCUUGCCGUAGAACGUAGGCGUAUAAGGGAUUACUCUAAUCCACUAGAUCAAACAGAAAAAUCUUUUGUCAAAUUGUUUAGAGUGUCAAAAGACAUUUUUUCACACCUGCUGGAAAUCAUUGAUACGAAACUGAAACCAUCUAGUCAUUCAACUGCAGUUUCUCCAUUGAUUAUGCUAGCGGCUUCUUUGAGGUUCUUUUCCGACGGAAGUUAUCAGAAGGGUGUUGGAAAUGAUCGAUAUGUUGGAUUGGCGCAACCUACGAUGUCAAAAGUAUUGCAGUUGGUUUUGGACAUACCUGAGAAGGAAAUAUGCCCCGUCGAAAUUGUUUUCCCAACCGACGAACGUGAAAAGCAUAUCAUAAAACAGGGCUUUUACGAACAAACGGGAUUUCCAGGAGUCAUCGGUUGCGUAGACGGAACCCAUGUGAGCAUAAUAGCUCCAACUCAUGACAAACACAUAUUUUACAACCGAAAAGGGUUCUACAGUCUAAAUGUUAUGUUGGUAAGUUGUAAAACUUAAACAGCAGUUCGUUGAAUUAACUCAUACAUUAUUAUUACAGGUAUGUGACCACAAUCUGUUGAUCCGAUAUGUGAACGCCAAUCACCCGGGUUCCUCUCACGAUUCAUUUGUUUGGAAUGGAAGUGUACUAAAUCAAUUAUUGCAACAGGAAUAUACAAACGGAGAGAGAAACUCUUGGUUACUUGGUGACGCUGGCUACCCCCUAACACCAUUUCUGAUUACACCUUUUCGUACUGGAGAACAAACCGAUGAACGACAGACAAGAUUCAACGGAAUACAUUCUAAGACCAGGAUUACUGUGGAAAGAUCAAUCGGAGUGUUUAAGAAUACUUUCAGAUGUAUGUUGAAAGAACGACAGUUGCAUUACCAGCCGGAAAAAGCAACUCAAAUCAUCAACGUGUGUGUUGCGCUACAUAACCUCAGAAUCAGAUAUAAAAUGGAUUUGGAUGAACCGGAGCUGAAUGACGAAGCGGAUGAGGAUUUUGUAGAUAUUGACGCGAAUUAUGAAAAUGCAAUUAGAAUCAGGGAAGAAAUCAUGCAUA
Molecule: long non-coding RNA, 1409 nt
Organism: Aedes aegypti (yellow fever mosquito)
Lineage: Eukaryota; Metazoa; Arthropoda; Insecta; Diptera; Culicidae
Exons: 3
Source: RefSeq, a predicted model, not a curated record